This 434-nucleotide ribosomal RNA is filed under the name uncultured Ruminococcus sp. RNAcentral describes it as "partial 16S ribosomal RNA". It matches the Rfam family "Bacterial small subunit ribosomal RNA", at positions 341 to 792 of the family's 1533-position model. Lineage: Bacteria; Bacillati; Bacillota; Clostridia; Eubacteriales; Oscillospiraceae. The record is from RNAcentral.
ACGGAAGGCAGCAGUGGGGAAUAUUGCACAAUGGGGGAAACCCUGAUGCAGCGACGCCGCGUGAAGGAAGAAGUAUCUCGGUAUGUAAACUUCUAUCAGCAGGGAAGAUAAUGACGGUACCUGACUAAGAAGCCCCGGCUAACUACGUGCCAGCAGCCGCGGUAAUACGUAGGGGGCAAGCGUUAUCCGGAAUUACUGGGUGUAAAGGGAGUGUAGGCGGGACUGUAAGUCAGAUGUGAAAUAUGCCGGCUCAACUGGCAGACUGCAUUUGAAACUGCGGUUCUUGAGUGAAGUAGAGGUAAGCGGAAUUCCUAGUGUAGCGGUGAAAUGCGUAGAUAUUAGGAGGAACAUCAGUGGCGAAGGCGGCUUACUGGGCUUUAACUGACGCUGAGGCUCGAAAGCGUGGGGAGCAAACAGGAUUAGAUACCCUGGUA